UGAUAUAUAUUCUCUUUAUCAUCCUUUCCAUUCUCCAGGUCAGCUGAUAUAUAUUCUCUUUAUCAUCUUUUCCAUUCUCCAUGUAAGCUGAUAUACAUUCUCUUUAUCAUCCUUUCCAUUCUCCAGGUCAGCUGAUAUAUAUUCUCUUUAUCAUCCUUUCCAUUCUCCAGGUCAGCAGACAUAUAUUCUCCAGAUCAGCUGAUAUAUAUUCUCUUUAUCAUCCUUUCCAUUCUCCAGGUCAGCUGAUAUACAUUCUCUCUAUAUCAUCCUAUCCAUUCUCCAGGUAAGCUGAUAUAAAUUUUCUUUAUCAUCCUUUCCAUUCUCCCGGUCAGCUGAUAUACAUUCUCUCUAUCAUCCUUUCCAUUCUCCAGAAUCCGCACAGAUUGCAGAAUCCGAACCCCAGGACACAAAUAAUAUAACUGGAAUAGAUCUGGGUAUUUGGGAGGACU
Molecule: long non-coding RNA, 449 nt
Organism: Eurytemora carolleeae
Lineage: Eukaryota; Metazoa; Arthropoda; Copepoda; Calanoida; Temoridae
Exons: 3
Source: RefSeq, a predicted model, not a curated record